Molecule: long non-coding RNA, 1599 nt
Filed under: Drosophila guanche
Lineage: Eukaryota; Metazoa; Arthropoda; Insecta; Diptera; Drosophilidae
Source: RNAcentral
AGCAACAGCAUCUCAUUUUCCCAUAUUCAAAAUCUUUUGUUUUGAUGUGUUUGUGUGUUUGUGUUUGCGAUUGCGUUGCAGGGCGACAAGUUCUUGGAACCCGUCGUGCAGUACAAUGGAGUUGGUUGUGUGUGGAUGCUGGAGUUGUUUGAAGUUGGAGUUGGGGUUGCAGUUGGAGUCAACAAAGAAACAAGUAACCAGGAGAAAUAUACAUAUGUAUGUAUACGUACAUACAUACGGAGAUGCACAGGGAGCGAAACGGAUGGAGCGAGAGAGCAAAGUUGAGACAAAGGCUAAGAGAGGAUGGAACCCGGCUUUCACUGCAUUUCUAUAUUACCUAAAAACACACACACCCAUACAGACUUACGCUGAUUAUUUCCAAAGAUGUAUUUACCUGUGCGUCCCAUGCAUUGAGAAUGGAAGGAAACGUGAUUAGAGUGACUCUCCCAUGAUAUGCUACAUACAUUUUGCGGGGUUUUCCAUAAAACCAUGAAGAAACUAUAGAGGAGGGCCCGUCGUCGGCAGCGUUCCUCGGGUCAUUUCCCCCCAACGACCGUGCUGGAACGCAAGUAUGAGCAACUUGUACUCUUAUUAUUGUAAAGAUUCUCUCUCUCUCUCUACACGCUCUUUCACUCGCACUUAAUGACAGCAUUGUUACGUUUCCCAUUUAAAAGCAGACGGGACCUCCUUUAUAGUAGCUUCAUGCCUGAAACAUAGAGACAGUCAGACAAAGAGUGAGAGAGUGAGAGAGAGAGCGAGCAAGGCAGAGCCUCGACGACUACCUGUUACACUCGUUCUCGUUAAUGUUGCUCUCCUUCUCAUUGUUGGUAUUUUCACCUUCUUCUUUGUGUUCUUUCGUUUGCCUGUUUACCUGUUUUCUUUUUUCUUUCAAGUCCGACACCAUCCAUAAAUUCCAAAACCCAGAACAAGACGACCCAUCGUUAGGGUCCCCGGUCCGCGACACUAAGGAAACUAUCUUGAGUUUUAAAUUAAGAAAUCCACUGGCUUAUCUAUACCAUAAACGGUGUUAUAUAUCAUUUUUAAAAAUGUUCAUACAUACAGAUGUAGUACAUGGUGUGUACAUAUGUAUGCAAAUAGUAUAUACCAUACAUUAUAUACCCUCAAGAGCGUUCAUUCGAUUGUACAAAAUAAUUAAAACGUAUUCUCAAUGUCGUAAUAGCUGACGAUAGUCGUAGACACUCUAUGUACUACCCAGUAUUAGCUGGAAUGCUGAUAAGAAAUUAUAAGGGUGCUCUUUCCUGACAUCACAGCUUCAAGAUCUCGACAGAUCUUUUAUAGAGAGGCAACUAAAGAGAGAUAAACAGUUUAGAAUCAUUUUACUCAUUUAUACAUUAAAAACAACUAUUAUAUCAAGGCCUCUACUAAUCUAAUCUAAGAUCAUGGAACCACAUUUUAAUGUAUUUCGUUUUAAACACUGAAUUCUGUAAGAAUAGCUUAACUUUAUAAGAAAUUUGGAAAAAUGUACAUAGAAGAAAAUCAUUUUACUUAAUUAUUUGUAUUUUCAACAUCGAUUAUAUUUACAUUAUGCCAAAAUUUACUCAGUUUAAAACUCCAUAAAAGUUUACUUAAUCUUAAACU